UCUGUAAUGCAGCAGUUGCCAUGCUAGUGGAAUCUAAUAAACUCUUGUCUGCAGUACUUCUGGAAGUGCACACCUGUUCAGUUCUGCUGCCCAAAGAUGCGACCUAGGCACUUCUUCAGGGUUUUUUCCUUCCGUGGUUACUGAGCUUGGAGACAAAACCGAGGGAUGUGCCUGAUCCCCAUGCAGAGUGUGAGCAAAGCUCGAAGCCCUGAGAGCCGCGGAGCUGCGAACGCAGAGAUCGCUGUGGGUGCACACGGAGCGAGGGAAGCUCGACCUUAGCAACACAGCAGGAACAUCAGCAGUGGUAAAAACAACGCUGUCCCCAGGGAACAGUGAGAUCCAGGGGCUGCUCCAGCCUGCUGGCUUCUUGGCUGGAGCAGUUUGUCUCUGGAGAGCUCAGAGCGGAGGAGAAGCCGGUGUUCAGCUGUGUGUGAGCAACGAGGGGCACUGCACUGCUUUCCCUUGCUGGAAGAAAUCCAUUACAGAGAGGAUCACCCUGCCAUGGAUGCUGGCUGGCACAGGGCCAGGCUCACUUCCAGGGCCAGAGAAGCGCUGCUGGCUCUGAUGCAGGUGGAGAAGAGCCUGACGGUGUCUGGAAGGUGGAAUGGGCAAUCUGCAGGUGGGACAGGAGGUCUGGGAAGAGGGACAGGAUGUCUGGGAGGAGACACAGGAGGUCUGCAGGUGGGACAGGAUGUCUGGGAGGUGGGACAGGAGGUCUGCAGGUGGGACAGGAGGUCUGGGAAGAGGGACAGGAGAUCUGGGAGGAGACACAGGAGGUCUGCAGGUGGGACAGGAUGUCUGGGAGGUGGGACAGGAGGUCUGGGAGGUGGGACAGGAGGUCUGCAUGUGGGACAGGAGGUCUGGGAGAUCUCACAGGAGGUCUGCAUGUGGGACAGGAGGUCUGGGAGGUGGGACAGUGAGGUCCACAGUUGACAGUGCUGCUGUCUCUGGCCCCUGGAGCAGUGCAGGAUGCUCCAAGCUGCCCAGAGCAGGGGUUAGUGCUUUCUCUCCCCCAGCUAAAAUCUAUCCUGAAACAUUUCUGAUACCAAAAUGCAUCAAGUUAAGCACAAGAGCAGAAGUCUCUGGUGACGUGGAUGACUUUUUGCAGGACAAAGACAAACAAUAACAAACCUUGGCAUAGGAAUGGGCAUGGAAACUGUGCUAAUAGUGCACAGAUCAAAUCAAAGUGUCAAAACAACAUCCCCGGCACUCCAGCGGCAGCUCCUGCCCACCAGGCGGACAUGUGAGGAGCAGGUAUUUUUAGCUGAAAAGAAUAACCAGCAAGGGUCAUGUAGUGAAGAAAAUAAGACAAUGGUAAGAAGAAACCAAGGCACUUCUGCUGGAACCUGGGAGGAUUGGUAUUACACCAGUCACCCCCCUGCCCCAGGAAGAAGUACAGAAAGGGACAGGAAGAUGUGGCAGUCAAGUUUCUGGCUCUGUGACAGAGUUAUUAGAAUUCUCUGAGCCCUAAACCCUCUUCCUGGGUGGUUUUUAAUUCUGACUCUGUGCUAAGCAUUAAGCACUAUCAGUGCAUGCAGAAAAGAGCCCUAGAAAUGUGCUGCUUGAGCAGGAGUGCCCAGCUGAAGUCUUUCUCCGCUUACAUGAUUAAUCUGUCUCUGAAGAGCAGCUAUUACACACUGGGAUGGUGUCUGGACAGUUGUGUGACAUCUUCUGUGCAGGAUGCGAGCAGUGUGGAUGACAAAGGCACGCGGGCGGCCCUGUGCAGAGGUGGGAGAUGACUCAGAGCUGUGGCACGGUGUAAUGGAGCUGCUCCUGGAAAACCUGCUUCAAAAGAGUCAGGACACAGGAGAUCAGCAGCGAUGCUUGAUGGAGGCAAUACCUGAGGUAGGAAGUACUUAAGCAGAUUGUAAUGAGGAUGUGGGUUCAUUACCGGAGCCUCCCAGGGUGAUGAGGGAAUCGCUCCUGUUGCACUGCAGCCCCAGUCGGAAGCCGCACCGGGCCACUGGAGCCGCUGUCCUAGCGUGAUUCCUACCCAUGGAACAAUAUUGCUUGCUGGUGCAUGAACAGAACAUGUCUCCUCUGAUUGUUUUUUCCUGCUCUUUUGAAGACAGAUGCUGUCUUAGGAUCCCCACUGGUACAAGGUCCUCUCUGAGGUGCAGUUACAGCUCUUUAUACCUAACCUCUAGCACUGGGAACUAGUGGUGAAAAGAAAUAAAUCCAAGUGGGGAUGUUUUAGCACGGAGUUUGCUCUGGUUCUGAAUGAAGUCUUGAGAGUGGACAAGAGACUGACCUCAAUAGCCUUUUCCAUGGCCCUGCUCCAGGGUGCUUCAUCUGUAAUUAUCCUUUUUUAAUUCAGGGAGCUACUGAACUGUGAUGAGAUUCCUGCAGUGGCUUUAACUCCCGCUCCUGCAGGAUAUCAGGGAAAGAGACACCUCUUCAGGAAAAUGCUGAUGGCUUUUUGCUCUGCUAAGAAAAUGCCACCUGGUCCAGCUGUCUUCUCCAUCUCAGGUGUUCAUCCAUGAGCAUGUGCCUUUGCUUGAACCAGCUCUGUCCUGGGAAAUUUCCUCUGCCCAGAAACUGGCAACUCUUAAAUGCCAAGAAUUAAAUUGUUGAGGGGUUUUAAACUUUACGUAUUGAAUUAUGACAAGACAAGCGACAGAAAGUGAGGAAGAGUUAAUUAUGUGACAGGGAGAGAAAGUGCCACUGUGCAGCAAUCCUUUCAAAGGCAAACAGAAAUAUUUAUAGACUCAGGACUGCACAACUUGCUGCGCUCUGACUCGAGAUGUGUUACUGAUUUACGGGGCAGCAUUUUCGGAUGGGGCUCUGGUGUGGACCACAGCUCUGCUGAAAGCAACAACACUGUGAGAGAGUGGAGCAAGUCGAGAAGGUUUUGGAGAAGAAUAUGAAUUAUCUCACCCAGAGAACAAAGAAUAGACGGACCCUGAGCACUGAGGGAAAUUGCACAACAACGUGCAGGUGAUUCUCCAAACCUGCAUGGUUUAAUGGGGGGAUUUUAUACUUUUGAGAAAAAAUAUAUUUCUUGAAUAUCCCCAUAGGUACAGUCUUGCUACUUAUUUCUGCGAUUUAAAUUGUUGCUUCUGUUUUUUAAGGCCAGGGUGAACGGACAAGCAUUUAAUCAGCCAAGUUGGAUGGAGGAGCACAGGUACCACUGAGACUCGUGGGACAACUCUACAAUGAGCAAGAACAUUAAAGGCUGCUAUAAAGAAACAAGCUCCUGUGCCCUCAGAUGGACAGAAUUAUAAAAAUCCCCACAGCAUCCCCAAAGCACUGAAUUAACUGGAGAAGGAGCUGUGUUUAAUGUGAUGGAUGGAGCCCGUGGGCCCCAUCGUGGGGACGUGGCCGUCAGGGCACCGGUACCUGCCGCCGCUCCCCACAGCACCUCCCCGGUAACAUCAGACAGGAUAAUUACGUACUUAAAUCUGGGUGCUUUACUACACAGAAAUUCAUCUGCUACCCUCAGAGUCCUUGAAGUUAAAGAGGGAUUUGAGUUACUGACAUAAUUUGUUCCCUGAGGGCUGUGGAAAGCAGAGAGAAGCACAUCUGAAUAAUAACUCUUCCACCACGU
This is a non-coding RNA of Taeniopygia guttata (zebra finch), 3547 nucleotides long. Lineage: Eukaryota; Metazoa; Chordata; Aves; Passeriformes; Estrildidae. The record is from RefSeq and is a predicted model, not a curated record.